AGCGAACGCUGGCGGCAGGCUUAACACAUGCAAGUCGAGCGGACCUUUCGGGGUCAGCGGCGGCCGGGUGUGUAACGCGUGGGAACGUGCCUUCCGGUUCGGAAUAACUCUGGGAAACUAGGGCUAAUACCGGAUCCGAGCUAAUGGGGAAUGGUUUACUGCCGUACGAUCGGCCCGCGUCUAAUUAGCUAGUUGGUUGGGUAACGGCCUACUACGGCGCCGAUCAGUAGCUGGUCAGAGAGGAUGAUCAGCCACACUGGGACUGGGACACGGCCCAGACUCCUACGGGAGGCAGCAGAGGGGAAUAGUGGACAGUGGGGGCAGGCCUGAUCCAGCCAGGCCGCGUGAGUGAUGAAGGCCUUAGGGUUGUAAAGCUCAUUUAUCCGGGACGAUAAUGACGGUACCGGAGGAAUAAGCCCCGGCUAACUUCGUG
Molecule: ribosomal RNA, 433 nt
Filed under: uncultured bacterium
Lineage: Bacteria
Description: partial 16S ribosomal RNA
Rfam family: Bacterial small subunit ribosomal RNA
Source: RNAcentral